AGCCCUGGGAUGGCUGAUAUUUACACCCAACAGAAUCGCUGUUCUUUCUGAAACAUGAGGAUGAAGACUCUAUGUGCAUGCCCCCCCCAGUAAACCCCAGAUCAGUUCCUCUCUGAGCAAGUCUGUCUACAUUUGGAGCAGGUACCCACUUCAAAUGAAUCCCCUUACAAAUGAACCUGGAUUUAGGAGAGCCAAUCCAAGCUCUGUGGUCCUGAGAUGUUCAAACAAUGCAAGACUUUGACUCCCAGUGAUAACAGAGCUGUACUGUGGAAGGGGAAAGCUAGGAAGAUCCCCUUUCAGUGGCUGAAUAUCAUUUUAUUCUUAUUGGCAUAAUGCAGAGGGCCCAGCUGAGCUCUGGACACCACAGGACAAAGCAUUGUGCAUUUGAGAAAUGAGAGACAGUGCCUGCUUGAAGACCUGACAGUCUGAAUAGCCAAAGGCAGUUGCCUCGGGCCCAUUGCAGAUUGGGAUCUGAGGCACAGUGAGUGACCAUCCCACAAGAACGUGCAGGGAUCCAGAUGUGGGUCUCCCGUGUCUCAGCUGCCUAUCUGUACUGACCGUGCUCUUGAUUCAUGACAGCCGUUUAGGAGCAGGGGACUGUUUGACUUUGAUCUCCUGGUUCUGAAGCGGGGAAGGAGAAGGGGAUGCAAAUUCCUGUGAAGCCUAACCUGGUCCAUAAAGCUUUGCAUCUGAGCUGUAAAAAUCCUGUGCAACUUUUUUCUGUGUGCUUGCAGGUGUAGCUGUCCACCAGUUCCUACAGCAGCUUCAGCUCUGGAAUAGAAAAUGCCCUUGCUGGGGGAAAUGUUCACACUGAGUGAGGAAUGAAAUGAACCUUUCUUCCAGCCAGGAGAGCUAAGCUCCCUCUGGCUGGUGGCCAGUCCAGUGAUGGACUGCAGGGUGGGGUGGGGAGGCCAGCUCCACUGAUUUGGGCAACUUUACCCCUGUGCAACAGCAGACUUGGUCUUACAGAAGACCUAGGCUCUGUACUGUGCCCCAAGGUGAAUCCCUGCAUGUUUGCGGCAGAUUCGGUGCUACUAGCAUAUGUCAUGCCUCCCAAGGUGUGCAGGGGACCCAUCAAUGGCUAAGGCUAAAACAUGUUGCUUUUUAACUCUCCAACACCUAUUGGAAAAGAAACUUGGUGUGUCUGGCAGCAGGGCAGGGUCUCCUUCCAAAUCCUAGGUGAUGC
Molecule: long non-coding RNA, 1186 nt
Organism: Gavialis gangeticus (Gharial)
Lineage: Eukaryota; Metazoa; Chordata; Crocodylia; Gavialidae
Exons: 3
Source: RefSeq, a predicted model, not a curated record